Molecule: ribosomal RNA, 252 nt
Filed under: uncultured bacterium
Lineage: Bacteria
Description: partial 16S ribosomal RNA
Rfam family: Bacterial small subunit ribosomal RNA
Source: RNAcentral
UACGGAGGAUGCGAGCGUUAUCCGGAUUUAUUGGGUUUAAAGGGUGCGUAGGCGGCCUGCCAAGUCAGCGGUAAAAUUGCGGGGCUCAACCCCGUACAGCCGUUGAAACUGCCGGGCUCGAGUGGGCGAGAAGUAUGCGGAAUGCGUGGUGUAGCGGUGAAAUGCAUAGAUAUCACGCAGAACCCCGAUUGCGAAGGCAGCAUACCGGCGCCCUACUGACGCUGAGGCACGAAAGCGUGGGGAGCAAAUAGG